GUGCCAGCCGCCGCGGUAAUUCCAGCUCCAAUAGCGUAUAUUAAAGUUGUUGUGGUUAAAAAGCUCGUAGUUGAACCUUGGGCCUGGCUGGCCGGUCCGCCUCACCGCGUGCACUGGUCCGGCCGGGCCUCUCCCUCUGUGGAACCCCAUACCCUUCACUGGGCGUGGCGGGGAAACAGGACAUUUACUUUGAAAAAAUUAGAGUGCUCCAGGCAGGCCUAUGCUCGAAUACAUUAGCAUGGAAUAAUAAAAUAGGACGCGCGGUUCUAUUUUGUUGGUUUAUAGGACCGCCGUAAUGAUUAAUAGGGACAGUCGGGGGCAUCAGUAUUCAACUGUCAGAGGUGAAAUUCUUGGAUCAGUUGAAGACUAACUACUGCGAAAGCAUUUUGCCAAGGAUGUUUUCAUUAAUCAGGAACGAAAGUUAGGGGAUCGAAGACGAUCAGAUACCGUCGUAGUCUUAACCAUAAACUAUGCCGACUAGGGAUCGGACGGUGUUAUUCAUGACCCGUUCGGCACCUUACGAGAAAUCAAAGUGCUUGGGCUCCAGGGGAGUAUGGUCGCAAGGCUGAAACUUAAAGAAAUUGACGGAAGGGCACCACCAGGGGUGGAGCCUGCGGCUUAAUUUGACUCAACACGGGGAAACUCACCAGGUCCAGACACAAUAAGGAUUGACAGAUUGAGAGCUCUUUCUUGAUUUUGUGGGUGGUGGUGCAUGGGCGUUCUUAGUUGGUGGGGUGACUUGUCUGCUUAAUUGCGAUAACCGAACGAGACCUUAACCUGCUAAAUAGGCCCGCAAAUGCUCCCGCCA
This 808-nucleotide ribosomal RNA is filed under the name uncultured fungus. RNAcentral's name for it is "SSU rRNA". It matches the Rfam family "Eukaryotic small subunit ribosomal RNA", at positions 564 to 1378 of the family's 1831-position model. The record is from RNAcentral. Lineage: Eukaryota; Fungi.